AAGAGCGCUUUCCCAAGCACCAGUACCUGAGGCAUAAACAUGAAGAUCAACAUACAACGUUGUUGUCGUUGUUGUUGUUCUGGUGAGUGUUUUCAAAGGGAAGGAAUAGCAGGAGAACGAUAAUCCUCAUUGUUUCGGUUCAUUGCCCGCAGAACGGGUUCGGGUAUGUUCACCGGCCCCGGGACAAAGAGAUGGUUUUUUCCAGGUGCGUAAACAUAAUCCAUUUUUCCUUCUCAAAGUUCUCUCCCUUAUCAGCUACAGAAUAGUAGAGAAGUUACUCUUUUGAGAGUUGGAAAUGGAUUGUCAUUUUAAAUUACAAAUUUUGUCUCCAAAGCUUAAAAGACUUUUGGUCUUGGUUCUAACUUAUCAAAAAGCUUCAAUGUUUAUAUAUUGGAAUCAAAAUCACAUAUAUUGUAAUUUA
Cucurbita pepo subsp. pepo (vegetable marrow) is the source of this 421-nucleotide non-coding RNA. The record is from RefSeq and is a predicted model, not a curated record. Lineage: Eukaryota; Viridiplantae; Streptophyta; Magnoliopsida; Cucurbitales; Cucurbitaceae.